CCUACGGGACGCACCAGUGGGGAAUCUUGCGCAAUGGGCGAAAGCCUGACGCAGCGACGCCGCGUGGGGGAUGAAGCUUCUCGGAGUGUAAACCCCUUUCGACCGGGACGAAUGCCCGCAAGGGAGUGACGGUACCGGUAGAAGAAGCCCCGGCUAACUACGUGCCAGCAGCCGCGGUAAGACGUAGGGGGCCAGCGUUGUUCGGAAUUACUGGGUGUAAAGGGUUCGUAGGCGGUGUGGCAAGUCGGGAGUGAAAUUUCUGGGCUUAACUCAGAACCUGCUUCCGAAACUGCUGUGCUGGAGUGUGGGAGAGGCGCGUGGAAUUGCAGGUGUAGCGGUGAAAUGCGUAGAUAUCUGCAGGAACACCCGUGGCGAAAGCGGCGCGCUGGACCACUACUGACGCUGAGGAACGAAAGCUAGGGGAGCAAACAGGAUUAGAUACCCUUGUAGUC
Molecule: ribosomal RNA, 452 nt
Filed under: uncultured bacterium
Lineage: Bacteria
Description: bacterial SSU rRNA
Rfam family: Bacterial small subunit ribosomal RNA
Source: RNAcentral